RNAcentral lists this long non-coding RNA (253 nucleotides) under Ananas comosus (pineapple). Its description in RNAcentral is "long non-coding RNA (ACOM_LNC043807)". The record is from RNAcentral. Lineage: Eukaryota; Viridiplantae; Streptophyta; Magnoliopsida; Poales; Bromeliaceae.
AACACACGAAAAAAUAAUUCACUAAGAGAAAAGAUUACAACGUGAUUACCGACUCCACGGACUCGACCUCUCUUAACCUUUUAUGAAUCUCGCGCAAUUCUCCGAAUUGUCCACGCCUUCACGUUCGAAUCCACGAACGCCACGUUCCGAAUCCAGGAAACGCCUCCACUUUGAAUCCACGAAGCUCACGAUCUGAAUCCACGAACCGCCGUCAAUCACGCCGAAUCCACGACGCCAUCACGAAGAACAUCAU